This 450-nucleotide ribosomal RNA is filed under the name uncultured bacterium. RNAcentral describes it as "partial 16S ribosomal RNA". It matches the Rfam family "Bacterial small subunit ribosomal RNA", at positions 354 to 796 of the family's 1533-position model. The record is from RNAcentral.
GUGGGGAAUAUUGGACAAUGGGCGCAAGCCUGAUCCAGCCAUGCCGCGUGUGUGAAGAAGGCCUUCGGGUUGUAAAGCACUUUCAGUUGGGAGGAAGGCCUGUAAGUUAAUACCUUGCAGGAUUGACGUUACCAACAGAAGAAGCACCGGCUAACUCCGUGCCAGCAGCCGCAGUAAUACGGAGGGUGCAAGCGUUAAUCGGAAUUACUGGGCGUAAAGCGCGCGUAGGUUGUUAGUUAAGCGAGAUGUGAAAUCCCCGGGCUUAACCUGGGAAUUGCGUUUCGAACUGGCUGACUAGAGUACGGUAGAGGGUGGUGGAAUUUCAGGUGUAGCGGUGAAAUGCGUAGAGAUCUGAAGGAACAUCAGUGGCGAAGGCGACCACCUGGACUGAUACUGACACUGAGGUGCGAAAGCGUGGGGAGCAAACAGGAUUAGAUACCCCUGUAGUCC